Molecule: long non-coding RNA, 7953 nt
Filed under: Ananas comosus (pineapple)
Lineage: Eukaryota; Viridiplantae; Streptophyta; Magnoliopsida; Poales; Bromeliaceae
Description: long non-coding RNA (ACOM_LNC011246)
Source: RNAcentral
GUGUUUUAGGUCCCAACAGUGUCCCUUUGAUUGUCUACUCUUGCUCCUUACUAAACUCAAGGUUAUAUAUAUAUUUUCUUUUAUUCUUCUUUAAUCCUCCAACUUUCACUCUUUCCCUGAUAGUACUGGGGUCACUCUUGAUUAAAAGCUGAGCUUGAAUCAUGUGAUCUCAUGUCCCAAAAAAGGUUGGUUGGGGAGCCUGAGUGGGUGGGGCACCAUGGGAGGCCAAAAGGGGGGAUAUUAUGCCCCUUACAUCAAGCUCUUUUGGAAUCAACUGUCAAGCUCAUAUGAUUUAUAGGUUUUGGUUCGAGAUUGGCUAAUCCUGAGCCGAUGGUUACUCAUUCUUCUCCUAUCUUACAUAAAGAAUCCGAGGUCUUGGGAUGACGAUUUUUAUACAUACGUAGGAGUAGAAAGAAUACUAACGACCAAGUAAUCACAAUAUCAUCCAGCUCCUUAUAAUCCAAGCCAAAUCAAAUUCUUUUGUCGACCAGAAAAGAAAACUUUCCUUAUACAUUAGAUGUACCAGUUUCUUUCCCUUAAAGCGCGAAAUAUUUUAGGAGGAAUCAAAAAGGUAUGGCCGACGGAAUUCUAUUGUUAGUUUUCUCGGGGCCUAUUAAUGUAGUAGUAGCCUAAUGCAUUCCAAUCACAUGAGCCAUGUGAAACCCACGGCUGAAGCAAAAUGACACUGAAACAACACAUUGUUUUCUUUCAAAGAAAGGGGCCACAUUGUAAGUCCAAAAUCAGCAAUUCUGAGGCUAAUUAUAAAACAACUGUGAAAAGCGGCCACAUUCAAAGAAAGGGGCCACAUUGUAAGUCCAAAAUCAGCAAUUCUGACCUUAGUUGCGGCCACUUGGUGGUUGGUUUGGCGCGAUAGAAAUAAUGUCAUCUUCAGAAAUCUACCCACCGAUGUUUCUCGAACAACUAGUCUUAUUGGUGUGUUGGCAAAAGAGUGGGCCGAGUCCUGUAGAGCUGGGUGACGUCUGACGUCUGAUCUGAUUCUCUUUCUUUUUCGUAUUUUUUCUUCUGUUUUUUCGCUUCUUCUUCGGAGGUCCUGGCUGCCUCACUCUAUGUAGCUAAUUUCAUUUUCUUAAUGAAUGAAGCAGGUAGCGUGCUACCUUUUUCUCAAAAAAAAAUUAUAAAACAAGAAUCAGGGGAGGGUAGUACUAACUACCCACGUUAUCUCUUGUGAUCAAACAAAAGUCCUAGUACAUCAUAAAAAAAUUUUCGUACCUAAGAAUCCCUAAAUUUCGGUAGAAGUUGGACCGAUCUCCAGGGCCAAGCUAGCACUUCACCUGCUCACUUGUCCUCAUUCAUCUUACCACAUAUGAUCAAUUCUUAGCAUCAUCUAAACUAAAACAGCAAAAUGUUCCAUGAAUCGCUCAGAAGUCAAACUUUGGCCUCGAUCCCGGGAUAUGUUCCUUUCUUCAAAAUAUUCUGUAAUUUAUUCUAAAAUGUCCAAGAGAAAAACCUAACCCGUCAUUGUAGGGAUAGAAGGAAAUAAGGCCGCAGUUUCUGCUUGUUGUUUGAAUUUGACGCUUCUUUCAGAAAUUAGACUCAUCACUGCACUGCACAAUUCCUAAUGCUAUAAUUGUAGACUAGUUGGACAGCUAUUAAUCACACAAAAUUAGAAUGCCACGGAACAAACAAACAAACAACCCUACUCUACCCCGAAAUAGAGGAAGAAAAUUGACCCCUGUAAACACAAUCUACCAGUAAUUCAAGAGCAGUUGAUGAAAUAUAUAGGUGUUAGACUCUAAUAUAUUUUUCAGAAAUUGUCCGGGCCUUGUCAAUUCAAUCCGACCGAGAACUAUCAGUAAUUAUUAGGUAAAAUCAUGUCGAAUCACAAACAGUGUUAUUAUCCAAUCAAUUUGUAGAUUCAACGAUAGAUAGAUAAUACGUUGUCGCGUAAAAAAAACUGCAGAUCAUGAUGAUACACCUAUUCUAAUGGAAGCCCUAAGUUGAUGAAUUAUGCCGAGUAAAAUAUAUGGUCUAAUAAAUGUAGGUAACAACAUUGCAAGCAUCCACAACUCACUAACACGAGCUCGUUAACACAAUCAUCGGAAACAUUCGAGGGUUUCGGGUAUCAGCGAUUAAGAACAAGCAUAAAAUAGAGAAUAAAUUUACCAAAUUUUGAGAGAACGAAGAUGGGCAUUCGAGAAGAAAAAGAAUCGCAGGAUAAAUUCAGAAGGGAAAAAAUAAUAAAAUAAAACGUUUAGGACCUUCGUUUUCGGAGUGAGAGGAGGGAUCUUAGUAGACGACGGAGAACGAGACUUCCGUGAGAAGGUGGAGGUGCGGAGGGUCGGGACGUUUCCCUCGUUUAUUUCCCGGCAGCUCUCAUAAGUCGGCGGCGAAGCAUCCGAAAUUUUCUGCUUGUCGGGAAUACGGCAACGAUGCACUCACGUCUGCCGACUUUUUAGUUUCUGUGGCAAGUCGGUGACGAAUCGCUAUUAUGUGGCCGAUAUGCGGCAUCUGCGUUUCCAAAGUCGGCGGUGGAACCCGUUGCCUUGCAGAGAUUUCUUUUUUUGGUAGAUUUUGAUAAUAACUCUAUAUUGCAAACACUUGAUGUGAUUUUCUGUGUUUUGUGAGAUUGGUGGCUUCAUCCUGAAGACUUUUCUGGAUUAAUGGAGCAUAAAAUGUUUCCGGAAUUCAAGAACGGUGAAUUUUAAUUUUUUUAAAGUCAUUAUUAUUUUUUUUAUCGUCUAUUUUGAUGGAAGUUCACUUGUUGAAAGUAAGAGCCUAUCUCUUUGUUUUUGUUGAUUAGUGAAAUUCAGUUAUAGUAUAAAUAACUUUUUAGCACUUUCAGUAUUUAUUUUAUCACCAAUCAAUUUAUUCUAACAUUUUUAGAAAAUUUUGGAUAAACUUUAGAGAAGCAAUGUUACCUGUACACUUGUAAAAUUAAACUAGCUUUUCAGAGUUUAUGAUUUAUUUACUUAUCUUAUAAUUAAAAAUAUUUUAAAUACCAAAAAAGUUCAAAAGAGUUAUCUAAACUCUAGAAUCAUCAUCAUGUGCAAGGUUUAUACUUUAUAAUCAUAUAAUGGAAUGUGUAGAAAAAAAGGCAUAGUAAUCGGUGCAUAUUAUUUGGUAAUGAGACAACGCUGUGUUAAUCUGCAGCAUUUACAUUUUUGAAGUUGGCGGCGAAACCCGUUGUCUUGCUAAACUUUAUUUUCCUUCUUUUAUUGUAGAGUUCGUUAGCAACACUACCUUGCGAACACUAGAUGAAAUUUUUAUGCUUAGUUAGAUUGAUUAUUGUUGGUUUUAUUAUGGCUUAUCUAGAUUGACGAAACAUAGAUGUAGGCAGAACUCAAGUACAGUAAAUUUUUUUAAAAAAUUUUAAAAAAAGUCUUUGUCUUUUAUGGAAGUCCACGAGGUCCAGAGUAAGAUGCAAUCUUUUUAUUAUUUAUUAGUAAAAUUUCUUAAGAUCUCUGAAAACAUUUAUUAGAAACUGGCGCAUAGAAACCGGUGAACAGUAAUCGGCAACGAGACUGUCUAAAGCGCCGACUUAAGCUCCUAAUGAGAAUUGGCGACGGAGUGGGAGGAUCGGACGGUCAAUGUCAAGCGGCCGCUGUUCCGUGGUCGUAGGAUCAGACGGCCAUUAUGGCUUCUCUUCCGUGGGGAGGAAGUCAAGCGCGCCACCACCAACUACCGCUGCCUCCGUCUUCGACUGGCGAUCGAAGAACCCAAAAAGAGAGGAAGCGAGAAAAGGGAGGAGGAGAUCUAAAAAGAAAAAAGAAAAAAAAAAAAAGGGGAAAAAAAAAGCACUUGCAAGGAAAGAGAAAAUGCCGACCAUCACGAAGCUAUAUAGCAUGGAAGAGGUGUCGAAGCACAACACCAACGACGAUUGUUGGAUCGUCGUCAACGGCAACGUAUUAUUGCUUUUGCUCUCCCCCUCCCUCUCUCUCUCUUUCUGUGUAUGUGGUGUGUUCAGCUGUUCAUCCUUAUGUGAGCGCUAUUUUUUUUUCUUUUUUUUUUGUUUGAUUUAAUGGUUGUUAAACGAUAGGUUCUGAACUGUGCGCAUCUACGUUUCAUUCGAUCGUUUCUAUACGCUUUGAUCCUUCCUUGAGUCCGUGUUGAUCAGCUCCGAGGAAGAAUCGCUCCAUUGGGUUAUCUAGGGUUUUUACGGAAAGUAGUUUUUUUUUUAAAAAAAAAAAAACCUCAUUUUGUUUGAGAGUCGGAAUUGGAGGGUUUUAAGCUUCAAUUUUGGUGUUAUGGUCGAAUUUGAAGGGAAUUUUAAAACUUUGUGAUGCAAUUUGACAAAUUAAGCUUUUGUUUUAUCUGCCUUAAUGUUAAGCUUUCAUCCGAAGAAAGAGUUGGAAUAGUUGGAAUGAUAGGGCAGUGAAAGAUAUUACAAUCUGCUAAAAGUUACAGCAAGGGUAAGCUAGGAAAUUUGUGUGAUCUGCCUUUUCUCACUACCACUCCAAUAUGCAGUUGUUGCCCUUGUUCGUUCUAAGUGUUGGUAAAAGUACAAAUUUUUUCCUAUUAUCUAUUAGAAAUUUAGAAUAGUUGUACUAGUUGCUAAAUCAGUGCUAAAAUGGCGAUUUGUAACUGUAAUGAGUUUAUUGUGAUUCAUGAUCCGAUUUAUAAAUGUUACAGAAACCUCUGCUUUAGUGCACCUCGAGUUCUAGAAAUCCCUUUUUCCUUGGGAGAGGUCUAGAUCUAUUGGGGCAUGUCUAAGAUUUCUGGAGCUCUUAUCAUUAGAAGCGUGUUCCAAAUUUGUUAGCUUUCGCCCUCAAUUGGCUACGAUAUUUCUGUUCAUUGUAUAGUCACAUGCAAUUAACACAAGUGGAAAGACUUUUCUGCGAAUAAGAUACCUGUGCAUAUACUAGUUAUAGAAGGAAAUGAUGCAUGCAAGGUAAGCCGAUUAGCUAUUCUUAAAGAAUAAGUUCAAGGGUGACUGGUUUUGUGUCAAAGAGUUCUGAAACCAAGCAGACACUCAAGUUUGAAACAACACCGUUUUUCUUUCUUUUCUAUGAAAUGAGAUGGUGCUGCUAAGAUUCACAUCAGUGUGAUUAGUUUAAAUCUUUUAAUUAGCUGGUUUGAACUUCCAAGCAUGUUUAAAAGGAUUGGAUCGGAUAUUUUGCAUACCAGGAUAAAAUUUUAUUGUGAAAACUUAUAAUGGUGUAAUAGCCUAUCUGUGAUAGAAUUUUGUUGUAUAAACUGCUGACAAGGUCAGAGACAGAAUGUUCUAUGAGGUACAUAAUUUAUAUCUACUUAAACAACUUUUUAAUGCAUGUGCAUUUGCGUAUAUAUUUCUGCUGGAACACUUUUUUUUUUUUUUUUUUUUUUNUUACUGCCGGACUACAAAUGUUUAUCCAUGCUUGCUAUCAUUCAUUCUUUUGGACCGUAGUGGUAGCUGCUUUGAUAAGCAUGUCACUGAAAAUUUGUUUAGAAGAGCCCGAAUGUUCAAAUCUUGGUUGGAGAUUUACUAUGAUCCUCAGAAUUGUGUCCCUGUUAUUAAUGGCAGGUUUAUGAUGUGACAAUGUACUUGGAUGAGCAUCCUGGAGGCGAUGAUGUUUUGCUCGCAGCAACUGGUAUUUGUUUCCUUAAUCCCUCAAUUUUCUUUUCGUAUCCCCGUUAAAUUAACUAGCUUUCUUUUACCGCCGCUUAUCCUAUACUUGGCACGGUAGUGGUUCUGUUUUAUUGGUCUAAUUCGUGAGCAUAUUAUUCUGUAGGAAAGGAUGCAACUGAAGAUUUCGAAGAUGCCGGGCAUAGUAAAACUGCUAGAGAUCUCAUGCAGGAGUAUUUCAUAGGGGAGUUAGACACCACCACUCUUAUCUCAACUCCCAUUGCAGAGCUCGAGAUUUUCCAGAAAGACAAAUCAUCAUCAGAUUUCUCCUCCAAGCUAAUGAGCAAGGCAGUGCAAUACUGGGCCUUCCCUGCAGCCAUUAUUGGGAUCUCUGUUGUUGCGGCCAUUUUGUGCACGCGUAAGAAGUAGAAUAAUUGGUUUGGUCAAAGAUAAAUACAUACACAAUUUUGUUUUCUUUAUUUUAUAUCAGAUUACAUUAUUCAAAAAACAAAUUCUGAAUCUAACAUUGAAUUUAAAUGGGACUCUGAGAUGGGGAGGCAGAACUGGCGAACACGAUAUUAUUAAAACUGCUGCCAUAAAUUUAUCUUUUCAUGGCUGUAUGCCGAUUAUUUUUCACUGCUGGAGAAGAAGCUGUUGAGUGCCGGCAUCACCUCCGGGCGUCGGCUGCUGAGGAAUUUGCGCAAGCUGUGUUGGCUGUACUUUUCGCCUUCUUCGGCGUUGUCAGGGACUGCGGUGGUGCGAUUUGUCUUGUUGAUCCUGCGAGAUCGAAAGGUUAGUUUUUUUUUUUUGUUAGCACGGCCCUUAAGUGGAAAAUAUUUUAUUAACAGAUUUUCUGCUCGCCAUGUCUGCUAAACCCGAUCUGAGAUAUUCAUGUGCUGUGUCCUUCAUCUUUUUGAUGGUUUGGAAUUUGCUAGUAUAACUAGUCUGGGGGAAAUUAUUGUGGCCUUUCUGAUUUUGGUAAAAAUGUCUAUACGACCUAUGGUUACAGUUAUAAUUCUAUAAGAUGGUUUUGUGAACUAUGUAUGACGAUAUAUGCCCGUAUGUGUGUACGACAUUGAAAUUAUGUGAGCACACAACUCUCAUGGCUUACAACAACAUGGAAUUAGGAACCACAGAGGUAGAUCUUGCCUGACGUCGGGGUUGAGGAUGAUGUUUCUUGUGAGCUGGAACACGCACAUGCCCGUCACGAACGUCAUCGCAGCCAUUAGAGGGUACACCUGUAGUAUCGAUCACAUGCAUGCACGCACGUAAGAACAGAAAAAUGAUCGUCGGCGACAUCUUUGAUCAUCGGUCAGCCGUUUUUGUGUGUAGCAGGGCAAGAGAAGAAACAGGUUUCUUACCUCGGGCUUCGCCCAACGAGCCAUUGAUUAGGAAAUUAAGCCUGCCUUGAUAUGAAUGUCUUAGUACGGUACUGUGUAUUGCACCUAUACCGGCACGUAAAUGACUGCAUGAGAGAAUAUAUAUAGAUAUAUAAGGAGAGGGCAGAGGUGAUAAGGUUCGAGAAAGUUUGAUGCUUCAAAUUCCUGGAAUGCAAGUUGGGUAGGUUUCUGUGGGCGGGAUAAGACUAAUCUUUGAAUCUUAUAGCAGGUUCGAUUCAAAAACCAUGAACUCCGCCUCCUGUUUUAUUACAUUAAAAUCAUUGUUAAAUUCGGGUCAUAAUAUUGUAGAGUUUAAUUCGCCACCUCUUUCUUAGUUAGCUCGACGAGUACUCUCCUCCAGAAGGGAACUGAUUCGUAUGCUCUUCGCCUGAGUUUUUGCAUAAACAAACGUCUCCUUAUGUAAUUAGAAAUAUGUGCGAUAUGUGCGAGUUAGAACAUCAGGGAGACAAUAAUAAUUUCAGAUUAAGAAGGCGACGUUGUCAGUUAAAAGUUGGGCUCAGAGAUCAGAUGGAUAUGCGGGUCUAGCUCGGCCCCAAUCUGAUCCAAACUUUUAAAAACGAAAUAGGGCUUGGCCUGGACCCAGCCCAGUUUGAGUCUUCCUUUCUUGCAGCGAGAUGGGGAGUAGAUUGAAUGAUAAUUAAUAAUUAGAUAGAAUGAUAAUUAAUAAUAAUUCGACCACAAAAUUAAAUUAAAAUCAAUGAAAUAUCAUUGAUUAGAAUGUGUUGUUGAGUGACGUGGCGGACCUCAUCAAGUCAAGGCAAUAAUACCUGGUUGAGUUGUCGCGUGCGUGUCCCAGAGGAGGAAUUCUACACUGUCACACUUGCACCACGUCAUCAAUAACAAGCCAAUCAUAUUUCUUCUUUUCAAACAAAAGUACAAUAAAAAUACUUUUUUACAAUCAUGAUGGGACAUAUAUUUUUAAAAGGAUUAAUUUGAUUAGUUUGUUACGCCACGUCAUUAAUAUAUCCGUUGCAUUUUAGAAUUUUUCGUCCCAGAGCACCUCUCCUCUUUAUUAAUUAAAUUAAUUAAACUAUUAUGUUACAACAACAA